CCUACGGGAGGCAGCAGUGGGGAAUAUUGCACAAUGGGGGAAACCCUGAUGCAGCGACGCCGCGUGAGUGAAGAAGUAUUUCGGUAUGUAAAGCUCUAUCAGCAGGGAAGAAAUAGCGACCUUUGGGUCGCCAGACGGUACCUGAUUAAGAAGCCCCGGCUAACUACGUGCCAGCAGCCGCGGUAAUACGUAGGGGGCAAGCGUUAUCCGGAUUUACUGGGUGUAAAGGGAGCGUAGACGGCAGCGCAAGUCUGAAGUGAAAUGCCGGGGCUUAACCCCGGAACUGCUUUGGAAACUGUGCAGCGAGAGAGCAGGAGAGGUAAGUGGAAUUCAUAGUGUAGCGGUGAAAUGCGUAGAUAUUAGGCGGAACACCAGUGGCGAAGGCAGCUUACUGGACUGUAACUGACGUUGAGGCUCGAAAGCGUGGGGAGCAAACAGGAUUAGAUACCCUGGUAGUC
RNAcentral lists this ribosomal RNA (458 nucleotides) under uncultured bacterium. Its description in RNAcentral is "partial 16S ribosomal RNA". It matches the Rfam family "Bacterial small subunit ribosomal RNA", at positions 338 to 795 of the family's 1533-position model. The record is from RNAcentral.